Molecule: long non-coding RNA, 1062 nt
Organism: Astatotilapia calliptera (eastern happy)
Lineage: Eukaryota; Metazoa; Chordata; Actinopteri; Cichliformes; Cichlidae
Source: Ensembl
GGCAGUUUAGUUUAUGACUGUAAUAAAUAUGGGAACGUCCUGUCAGAUAAACCACAACACUCAUACGGUGGUGUGGUGUGGUGUGGUGUGAUCAUACGGUGGUGGGCUUUGUUAAGGUUUUGGGCUUCUGUUGUGGUUGCUUUGUACCUCGAUGCCAUUUUUUUCCUCUAAGGUUAUCCUGGCAUUUUUCAUCAAUCAACUUCUUCUCUGUUUCACCCUGCUUUCUUUGAAUAUGACUUAAUUUUCCUUUAAUAACUUAUAACUGAAUAUGAGCAAUAAUCACAUUUGUUCCUUUAGUUUUUCUAAUGCUUAUUGCUACACAACUUUUUUUCUUCCUUUCUUCCUCUUCUCCUCAUCUUUAUUUUUUCUUUUUUUAAACUUAAAAAGUUUUAACCUGCCUUUUGCAACACUGGUCGGCUCAAGACUCUGAUUUUUCAGUAAACCUAUUUGUAUACACCCACACCUUCCACACAGAAGCACUGAAGCACACAAAUACAGAGAGCACCACGGGUGCAUUUGUACACACAUGGAACCUGACAGUCUCAUUUUCUGCUAUACACACGCAAUCUUCUAACCUUCUAUCAAGCGACCCUGCAUGCCUUGUUCACCCAUUUCCUACACCUCAAACACUCGCACGGCAACUUAAUUAAACCACACUUAAGUCUAGAUUGUUCAGCUGGGUUGUUUGAGAAAAAGUGGACCAGGUAUUAAUCAUGUCGUGGGGCCAUAAAACUGUUUACACAGACACAUUGUGGGGUCUUCUCUUUCGUGUGGGGGACAGAUGGGCAGAUAUUUUUAACGCUAGGCUAAACCUAGCAUUGGGUCAAGUGUCUAAUUGGAAAAAGCUUCAUACAAACGUGCAUAUGUGUGUGUGAAUUACAAAAGGUCAUGGCUUCUUUUGCAUUGGCUCUUUUUCCUUGUUGUGAAAAUGAAGUGACCUUUGACCUAUUAAUACAUUCUAAAGCUACCCUUACUUGCCUCCUGCCCAUCUUUCAUUCAUUUGGUCCCCUGAUUUUUUUCUUCCUAUUUCUCUGGCUCUCUGUCUGUCCGUCUGCAUGUACC